Molecule: long non-coding RNA, 11731 nt
Filed under: Panax ginseng (ginseng)
Lineage: Eukaryota; Viridiplantae; Streptophyta; Magnoliopsida; Apiales; Araliaceae
Description: long non-coding RNA (PGIN_LNC014619)
Source: RNAcentral
UGAAGCUGAAUCACAUAAAAUCAGAUCCCAAACAUUCACCAGUCCUCUGAACUAGUGUUUUAUAAUCUGGGUCUGUUCUACUACUUACCCGUUUCCUAGUUAAUAUAUGUGAAGUUAUGAACCUUCCUUCUCUCCCUUUUCUGCUUCAGUUGCCUAUCCAACACUUGCACAACUCCAUAAUCAUUCAAAUUGGUGAAGGAAAGUAAAAGGGCUGCACCAAAACAUUUAUAAAAGCUAAAUGCAGGGGUGUAAAAAACAUAGCCCAGAGAGGGUAGUUCUCUUGUAGGUAUGCCUAUUUUUAAUUUCUACCUUCUUUUUUUUUUGUAUUUUAUAUGCAAAAAAUUGGGAUUGUUUCAUUUGUUUUUAGUUUCUUAUAUGCUAUACUAUUUUUGGAAUUGAAUGUUGUUUUAUGAAUCUUGUUUAAUUGAAGUUUAGAUUUGAGAUUAUUUAGUGUGACACACCAGUUUGUCUAUAGAUUCCGCGGCAUAUCUCACAUGAGAUAUGAAUCUUUCUACUAAUUAGGUGAGAUUUUAAUUUUCAUACAUAUAUGCCAUUAGUUUAAGUAAAAAAUAGGUAAUCUUGGUCAAACUUGUAGAUUCUUUAGUGGGUUAAAGAACUUCUUAUAUAUCAUUAUCAAACAACUGGGUUUAUCUCCUAGUUGGUUAAUUUGAUUAAUUUAUUGUCUUCGUUUUGCAGUGCCUUAUGUAAUUCUUUUGGUUAUGCUAUGAUUAUAAACACACAAACGCGCAUGUACGUGGAAGUUAUUGUAGGUUGAUGAGAGAUUUGUCGAUAUCUGUUUUCAUUUUUCAAACUUUGUGCGAUAUGUUUGUUAUGGUGGAGGAGUGAGGGAUGGAUAGGGAAGAUGGAAAAGUGAAAGGAUGAAGGAAUUUUAUUGGAGAGAUGAUGGAAAAGAGAAGAUUGGGAGGAAGUGUUCCCAUGCCUACCACUUCUUGUCCGCACAAAAGUGGGUGGAAAACCGAGGGCAAGAAGGGAUCUUUGAGGCAGGAAGCAUAGUGUACUUAUAUUAUGUUUUUUGUGUAUGAAUAUUUGUGUUUAUUACAUAUAAAUCAGAUUAAAAUUUUAAUGUUUUGAUCCAAAUCUAUAUAUUAUGUCAUUCUACACUGUUUUUUUAUAUCAUCAUGUGAUAUUAUAUCUAUCAUAUUUCUCAUAUUUUAUUAUCUAACAAAUUAUAUAUAUCAGAAUUCCCAAUCUUCUCUUUCCUCUGCAUUACCAAAUACUGGAAAUUGACAUUCUUUGUAUUUCAUUACUUUAGCUCUUAUUACCUAACAACAUGACGAAUUAACACUUUUCCUUUCCUAGGGAAGAUAAAUCCUUCCUAUUUUUCAUCCUAAAACUUUUCUAUCCUCUUACCAAUGGACCAGUGCCUGAUAGAGACCUGAAUCUGCCAGAAGUAAAAGUGAUGCAGGAUGGGAAUAUAUAUAUAUAUAUAUAUAUAUAUAUAUAUAUAUAUAUAUAUUAGUACUUAUCAUCACAUGGAAAAUAGGAGAUGAAGAGAAUCUUUGUUGUUUUAUCAGGUUUUCAGAGUUUGGUAGGAGUAUUGACGUUAAAGUUUUGGACUUUUUCAGUCUUUUGGGGUAUAUGGACAGAACAAACCGCCAAAUUUUAGGGAUCAAUAUAUUCCUUUUCACUUGUUGAGGAACAGACCAUGCUUUUGGUCUCAUUGUGGCUAUUGUCAUAUGCUAUGUGUGCUUUUCAUGGUUCCGAAUUAUAUAGGGAUUAAAAUUUGAAUAUUUUCUUUUCCAACUUUUGGUUUUUUAGGGUGGUCUCCUUCUCCACCUUUGUGUACUUUUGUUUUCUCUCAACAAACUCUUCUUUUUAUCUAAUAAAAUAUCUGAAGCUUCAAUUUUUUAUACUAAAGUUUUAGCAAAGUCUCAUCGAUGCUUUAUAGGAGUAGAGGGUUGUAAUGAUCUAUAAGAUAUAAAGAACGCGUUGAUUAUGACCAAGACUGAAAGGGAUAAAGUGGACUAUCAUCUCAAAAAAAUGGAUGAACAUCCUGAAGGUACAGGACAUGUUGAACACUAAGCUAAGCUUAUGAGUGAUAAUUGUAUAGUUUUUUUGCUAUAGACAUAAAUACAGCUAAUUUAUCAGGUGCGAGUUGAAAAACAAGUUGGCAUAUUUUGAAGAAUUUUGUAUUCUAAUUCGCUGAUGAAUAUGAAAAAAAAGGAAAAGAAGAAGAAGAAGAGAACCAGAAGAUUUGGUACCUUCCUAUAAAAGAUUGACAUGAAGGGACCUUAACAGUUUUAGGUGGAGAUGGUUGAGUAAAUUUUUGGUAACUUUUUGGAUAUGGUUCUUCUUUCUGGCUUUCUGUUAAUCGAAAAGGAUUGAAAGUAAUUAAUUAUAUAUUUAGAAUAUAAACUAUAGUUUGCAGAGUUUAUCUUAUUAAAAGUUUGGUUUCUGUUUUUUAAUUAUAACCACUCCUGAAUAUAUAUGUGAACUAACAAUAAAAUGUGAAACAUGAGGGGAUAACAAAGUUACAUGGGAGAUAUGUGUGUGAUAUUUAUGCAUGCACAGCGUGGCAUCUGGUUCAAAAGGUUGCCAUCUAUGUUUAGUAAAAUCUAUUAUGAAAAAAAAUAAAUUAAAGAAUAAAACUGGUUAUAACAUUCAAACUUAAUGAUUAGCUAUAUAAUUCUCAUAAGAUGAAAGACAUAAAAUAAACUCUAUAUCAAAUUUAAGGGAGAACCUAAGAAAUUUCAUGGCUAACUGAACACUAAAGCUGGUUAACGUGGGAUAGUAUAAUGUGACAUUUUAGUUAUUAAAUUUACUAUAUGCGAACAACACGACCAUUGAUGAAGUUUAACCCAACUAGCUAACAAUUAAUUAUAAUAUCAAAACAUUUAAGUGCAGUAGGUAGCAUUACGAGUUUCUUACCAGCAAUACUUUCCAUCUGAGUGCAGUCAGUUAAGGAUGAUACCAUACAUUCGGACCUAGAACUGUUGUCUGUACCAUCUUUGGAGGAAGCUGAACAAUUCUGAAAUUUCACUACUUCCCCUCCCAGAUUUGACUCUUUCUGAUUUAGAACUAUUACAGGAAUAGCUGGCUUCUCAUCAAGAGGUAAUUUUUUCCGUUUACUGCUUUUAUAAUUUCUAUGUUUAGGAACAUAGGCAUUAAGAUUUCCUUUGAUUUUCCACCUUGACCCACAUGCAUUGCACAGUACUGGCUUUUGAGCUGGUCCACGUCUCCAGAUUAGAGAGUCUGUUCCAAUUUAAUAUACAUCAGUUAUCGAUAUGAAGAAAAAACAACAGUGAUUGAAAUUCAAGACACAUACAGGAAAAAUAUGUGGUGACAACGGAGACUAUAAUAUAGAUAUACUACGAGAAAGGCUUGUCGUGAGAGUAAAUUAGAGGCCCAAGGUCCCUUUAAAGUAAUCAAGUGUACAUAUAUUUCACUGGAACAUUAUUAGUCCUAUCAAUAUAUUCUACUUUUAAAUAUAUUUUCAUGUAUUUGAAGUCUGUCAACAUUUGUAGCUGAAAUAGGUUUAGCACAUAAAUAAAGCUAAAAUUAGCUUAUAAAAACCUAGAUAGAUCCUAAGGGGUUCUACCAUGAGAAGAGAAUUCAGUUGAGGUUCUUCAUGAGAAGGGGGUCAGUGAUUCUGCUAAACUGAAUCAACUGGAGAUUUUACAUUUAAGCCAAUAUAUAGCGAGGACAAAUCGCAUAUUUAAUGGACUGUAAAAACUUUCCAUUUGUUUUCAGGCCUCUUAUUGUAAGUUGAGUUCAUUUCAUUCCAAUGAAAGAAAACAAGGAUAGUAGACUUCACCUAUCUUUAUAUUUUGCGUUUUAGUUCUACUUUAUGAGUUGUAAAUAAGGCCUCAACUCUACUAUCAAGAGUACCAACAAUUUGUCAUGAUUUUGUGUGGACCUGUGGUGGACCAAGAUGACCCAAAUGGUGCUCUUAGGAUGUGGGUUGAGCCUUAUAUUGGGCUCGGGCUUAGGCCCAGGUCGGUACAAAUGAUAUCAAAGUGGUAACUAUUAUUGGUGAAGCCUGAUUUGAACUUUCAUUUGGAGGUGAUUAUAAAGCUACCCAAAAGGUAAUUGGGUCUGUUCUUGGAGCGGAGGACAGCGGAGGGACCGGUAGGUCCGAAGUUGUUCUUAUAUUAUGUUAUAUAAGUAGGGGAUCCCGUAAUUGUAAGAUGUAUGAAAUUUUCAAAAGAUAGUGAAACUGAUCGGCCGCUGACUGUGGACUAGCCCAACAUUUGGGUGAACCACAUAAAUUUUUAUGUCUUGUGUGAUUGUUUUCUUUCGUUUUGAACAAAACUGUAGUUGUGGGCGUAUCAUCCUCGUCAGAGAUUUAAGUGGGGGAGAUUGUAAUAUGCUAGUCCUACAUUAGAAUAUGUGAGAUGGAUCCAUAACUUGUCAUGGCUUUUGCAUGAGCUUGUUGUUGGCCAAGAUGUCCUGAUUGAUGCUCUUGAGACGUGGAUUGCUUUAGGAUUGGUUUAAGUCGUUAAGGCUUGGGUAGUUACACUAUGUACUUAAAUAUAACUACAGGUAUUAAAUUUUUGUACCUUUGGCAGAACUAAAUCAAUACAUGUCCCGUGUUUGUCCUAUUUCUUUUCUAAUCAAUUUUUUUGAAAUCAAAUAUUUCAAUUCACAUCAUUAUGUUUCGUAUGAUGCUCAAAACUUAAAUAUCCAACAUUGGCAAAAAUGUACACAUCGACUUGCAUGAAAGCAUGCAUAUGAUAAAAGAAAUAUAUUUAAAUUAUAGAUUUCUUCCUUAUAUUGAAUAGAUUUCCAAGAAAAUUAAAAUUAUCUUUAUAUGAUUUUAAGAAAUCUUUAUAUGCAUUUUUAGGGAUAGAUUGUCUUCCCUUCCAUUUCCUUGGGUUUCAGUGAUGUUGCUUUUGUGGGGUUUCUCUUUUCACCAAGUUUUGUGUAGUCCUGAUGACUUUGUUCCACUAGCUAUAUUUUCUUAGGUAGACCUCUUGUCUCUUAUGACGAAUAUUUAUCUUUAUCUAUCUAAAAGAAAGGAAGUUAUCAUGUAUAUUUUUAAUUAAUUAGAAAAUCUUUGAUGAUUUAGGGAGACCAAAAUAACGGGAUCUAGCAAAUUUCUCUUCAUCAAUGGAUUAAGAUGACGUUAUUCAAAUUCUCCAAGAAUGUAUUGUUGAACUCAGGAAAUAGGCAAGGAUUAAUAGCAAUCUACGUUGAGUUAGGUUGCUUAUUAAGGUGAAAGACUAGGGUAAUGUGUAAGGUUCUAAAAUUGACUUAUGGGGCAGUGUUUGCGGUUAUUCUAGGUCUAUGAAUAGCCUAAGAAAAGAAAUUGAUCUUUUUUUCCUUGGGGGNNNNNNNNNNNNNNNNNNNNNNNNNNNNNNNNNNNNNNNNNNNNNNNNNNNNNNNNNNNNNNNNNNNNNNNNNNNNNNNNNNNNNNNNNNNNNNNNNNNNAAAAUAACAUUCCAGGAAAUAACAUUUUUUGUAAGUUAGGGUUUUUAGGUUAUAGUUGAAAGAAGACAAUAGACUAAGAAGAAGAAAGGACCCAAAUAAAAAUGAAAGAGAAGAUAGAAUUUAGAAUUCUAUUAGGUCACGAUAAAAUCACAAGAAUUCUCAAAUUUCAAUUUUUCUUCAAUAGUUACUAGAUUGCAUUAUAGGCUGUGGGAUUAGUGCUUAUAUAAUUAUUUUAUUUAUGGGUAAGUUGCACCUGUGACUAAUGUUAGAAAAAUAACAUCACGUCGAAAACAAUAGCAAAGAGAAAUCGAAAGCAAAACAAUAACACAAGACAAAAUUUAUGUGGUUCGCCCAAAGGUUGGGUUACUCCACGGUUGGUGGCAAGCCAGUGCCACUGUCUCAGAAAAGCAGACAUAUUAUAGUGCAGUAUCCCCUCCUUAUAUAAUGCAAUGCAAUAUAAGUACCCUAAUUCACCUCGAAAGUACAAUCACCUCUGAAUCAAAGUCGGAUCUGGCUUCACCAAUAACAAAUAAUGUAUCCAAAAGAGUAACAUUAAUGAAUAUUUAGCCACCCAAAUACAAUGCAGAGAAAGUUCAACUCAAGCAUAAGAAUAUAGUCAGUAUACAUAGGGGGAUUAGUCCUCUCCUCCACCACAUUCCACAAAAAAGUAAAAAAAGAAAAAGAAAAACCUUAGUGCAAAUGCAUCGAAGAAAUUCAAAACUCAAUACAUUGCUUGUAAAGGCCAUGAUGGUGCCACAAGAAAACUAUACUCAACAUCAAAGAAUGAACUUUUUAUAUUUCGAAAUCAGUAUACUCAAAACAUCUUCUAAUCCUGUCCCUCCAAAUCAACUCAACCACAUUAGGCAAAGAGGAGAUGCAUUCGGUUUCUUUCUGAUCUUCUUACUGCCUGGAACAACAUUGCAACUGAAUAUGGACCCUAUGAUCAAACAAGGCAUUACCAACUCAUACCAAAAAGACUAUAGGGUAUUUUUCAAAUUCCAAGGCACUACAAAAUAAAUUAAAAGAUGGUUCAUGGUCGCCUCGUCCCUCAAUACACACUACAGGCAUAGUUGUCACGGCGCCAAGGCGGGACGCGGCGGUAGUUGACCGCCAAGACGCCUAGGCGAUAAAGUGUCCGCCAUGACGUCCGUAUGACGACCAGUCAUUAACAAUGUGCAAUUUAUACAUUAUUUAUUUUAUUUCAAAAGUAUAUUACACAAUAAAAUUUUAUAUACACUAAAACCCAAAACAUAAUAAUUAACACAGUCUCUACUCUGUUUCUAGUCAUAGCUCAAGCAAAGUCAUCAACUAUGAAGUCAUUUCCGUCUCCCUCGUGAGCAUUAUUCUCAUUCAAAGGAGUAGGGUCAUGGGUUGAGUUACUUAGGUAAUUAAAAAAGUCUAUGGGUUAUGAUGAGUCAUGGUAAAAAAGGAAUUAAUCACUUAACUUAGGCCCGCUACCAAUGCGUGAGCCUUGGCGGCUAAGCGUUCAAGGCGUUUCUUUACCCUUCUCCAACGCCAGGACGCCAUGACGACGCCUAGACGACGCCAUGACAACUAUGACUACAUGUAGCCAGAACUUUUCUACCCUUCCUCUAUUUAUUGAUAUGAAUAUCUCUCAAUGCAAUCGAGCAUAGGAGGCUAUCAGUUUCCAACUACUAAAGGAAACUUUGCUGACCCCCAAACUUCUUCUAACAGUUUUGGAUGACUUGCUGAAAUUUCAAUUGACUUGCCUACUCACCCCAAAAUAUCUCCUAGUUUCUUGGUUUAGUCUUAUUGUUCAUUCAUAUAUAGAGGACUUGAACAAUAAUGUUGAAGAGAUCAAAUAGAUUAUCUGAUGUCAAACCUUAUAACUUUUAGGUAUAAUAUAAUGAAAUAUUGUACUUAUAAAAAUUGUCAAACCUUAUAACCCUUGGGUAUAAUAUGAUUAAAUACUGUACUUAUUAUAAAAAAUAUGACUACUCUAGCAGCACUCUUAACAUGCUCAAUUAUAUGUUAAAAAAUUAUAUCAAUUAUUUUCGGAAAAUUUGUAACUUUUUUUUACAAGGGUUAUAGAAUCUCCUCUCUUUCUCUCUUUUAUGUGUAUGUGUGAUUAGUUGCGUCUUUCGAGAAUCGAGACAACACUUGUCGUUUCUGUAAGGAUAAAUCUUGUACUUUAGAAGUCAUAGGGUAUGUUUGAGAUAAAAGGCGUUGUUGAGCUGAGUUGUAGAAGUUAUAGAUUACAAAGAAUGUAGGUUUGGAGUUGAACUCUAUAUACGGUAAGGAACAAGGAUGGAAUGGCCAAUGAAGUAGGAAAGAGAGGGCGACCACAUGAGGUAGGGUUUCUUGGCCUGUCAGUCAAAAGAUCCCCAUCUUAUACAUAUAGAGGGGGAUUUAUAGAUGUAUGUCUUAGGGCAUUUAUAACUGUACAAAGAAUUUACUGUCAAGAUUUGUAACAUUGGCAAGGACAUUCAUAGCAAAACUAAAUCCUAGCAAUUGGGAGAAAAAUGUUUCCUUAAACUAGUUAGGGAAUCCAAAAGCAGAUAUAUUUAUAAUAGAUAAUCAGUUGUCAACCAAGAAACAAUAAACCAAAGUUGAUUCUUCAUUCGAAAACCAUAAACACUUGAGUAUCGGUAUCUAUUUAAUGGACCAUAUAUUAAGUGGAAGAUAAAGAUAUAUUAACUAAGGAAAAGUGAAUCGAAAGAGAAUUUGGUAAUAGGAAGAUGAAGUACACAAGUUAAAAGAACAUUCACCUUCAAUCCCACAAUGGGAACAAGGUCCUUGUCUGCCCAUGAAAACUGAUCUCUUUGAAUUGCGUCAACUUAUCUUAUCUCAACUCCUCAAUAGAGAAAUCUAGUUCUACUGCAAAGAAAACCAAGAAUUAAGUGCACUAAUAAUAAAAAAUCAAAAUUUAGAACAGUUAGUAAUUGUGAAAUCUCAAAGAGAAAGUAAAAAGAAAUAACUUUGCCUUAAAAAGCUAUAAAUGUGCUGCUCAUUCUAGGGUAUGAAAAAGAGAAAAAAGGGGGAGGGGGGUGGGGUUAAAAAAGCCUUGUAUGUGAGAAGAGUUUGAAUAAAAAUCACGUGUAUAUAUAGAAGUAAUAAAAAAAAUCAUAUAAAUGUAAAAUUUAUUUCAUUCUGUAGUUGGUACCUUUAGACUUCUACUCUUGCUUUUGAUGCUCAAAAGAUGCUAGAAAUAGGAAGAACAAAAAGAAGCACCCCAUACACAAAUGGAGGACUUCCUUCAAACAUAACUUGGAAAGAGCUAUUUGCACAAACACAACUAAUGGAAAAAUUGAUGAGAUUUAAAAGCAAGCUUUGAUUGAGAACGCUUGGGAAUUAGAAGAAAUAGAAAAGAUGGGUAAAUUAAUGCUUUUGUCCUUCUCUAUUAAUAGUUCAAAGUUCUUCAAAAUCUUGCCCUUCACAAAUUAAAGUAUGGAUAUUUCAGACUUGGUAAGUGCAUCCAGGUAUCUUUAAUCCUAGUAUUUGCACAAUUAAUUUGAGUGUAAUCUAGCCCAUUCAAGACAAUGUUACCUUGCUUCCAGAUUGAUGGUUUGUCCUUGUAAAUGUGUUACACAAUUCAGGUAAAUAAUAAUGACUAAUGUUGUGUGAUAAAAUUUAUAUUUUCUUGAACUAAUCUUUUUUAAGGUUUUAGUAAUUUGUUGGUGUACAUAUUAAAUGCCAGCUGUUAUGCAGUCAUCAACAGUUUUCUUUCACUUAAUCUUUCCCCCGCCCAAUUGCCAUCAAAAAAAAUUUUAUGCGACAAUAUUCGCAUAAUGUAUUAAUGUGUAUGAUAUAACUUUUGACCUACAGAGUUGAAUAGAGGUAAAAAUCUCAUUUAUUGUGUUCAAAGUUGAUAAGAAUAAUUUAGAUGUGCAUUAAUUGCUUAAAAGAUUAUUUUGUCAAGUUUCCUCAUGCUGAAAAUGGAAAUUUAUCUGAGGGAGUCUAUGUUAAUUACUUUAAUAAUUUCUAUUUAAUUGCUUUAGUUCCAUUCUUUAUUAAGCAUUUAUGACAAAUCAUGAAUUCAUGAUAAUACUUGAAUAUAUUCGGAUAGAUAAUAAGAUUUUAUUGAUAGAGAAGAGAGAAUAAAAGUAUAUAAAUUUGCAUAAAAAGACAGAAAUGUAAUAUAUUUAUAUAUGAUUACAUAAAUCGUAUCUGGAGAUAACAACUUCAUUCUUUUGACUCGUUAAAGUGAAAGGUAAGGUAAUAUUUGCUUCAUCCCAAUUAAGUGUCAUGCUUUGUUUUGGAUGUCCCAAAUUGUUUUAGUUUUGCAAAUCCAAAGAAAUGCCAGUACAAAUGAACCAUAGUCCCCCUUUUGGAGAAUAGAUAUAAUAGUAUGUGCUCAUUCUCAGCGACAAAUUUCCUUGUACAUUUACUUCAGGAAGGGUAUGAAUGAACAAGUUCAAAAUUUUCUUUUGUUAACUAUGUGCAUGUUUACUAUGAAACCUACAAUUUGGGACAGAUGGAGUACUUAACUAAUGAAAAUCAUAAAUACUUUACUGACAUCUUAUGCACAUAUUUUUAAUGGCCAUGUCUUUAGUUGUUUUUCAAUUGUUUUGACUCUUAUAUCGAGUACAAAUAAGAAAAUGUCUUAAAAUAUUUUAACCGUCACUUUAAACUGCUCGAUAAAGAAGCAUACAAAUAGGUUUAACUGAAGGUAGUUGAAACAAAAACCUUGUUGACAAAGUUUUUCUCUAUAUCUACCGCCCCUUCAGUAGUAAACCGCAUCUUGGUUGAAAAAUCAAAUUUUCUAGUAUAAGAUUCUGUUGAGGAAAUAACACUUUAUUCUGUGUAAUACAGGUUCUGUAUUUUUACAUUACUCCAUCUGUCAAAAUGAGAGUCCACUUUUAAAGCCAAAUAUAUACUCAUACUUUUACUUUGACAUAGUCAAUGACUUGGUCACAACUUAAUUAUAAUAAGAGUUGGUACAUUAAUUUUUAGAGUACUCUCAUAUGGACGGAGGUUUUAUCAGAUGGAUUAGGUUCAUAUCCAUAUAUGCACACCAGAUGCAGAAUUAGGAGAAGACUACCCUAAAUCUAGCUAAGAUGCUUAGGUAUGACGUUUUGAUAUAAAUCUAAACUGAACAAUAUUCCGUGAAUGAGGCAAACCAUUAUUCAUUUGCACUCCACUUGAGUUUUAGGUACCAGAAAUUGAUUUCUUGUACAUCUUAAUCGAAAUAGACUUAUUUUGUUCCAGAAGUACUUGAUUAACUUAACAAAAAUCUUUAUUCUUUAAGUUAUCAAGUCUUUAAAGAAUUACCAAUAUGAGGCUUUAAGUUGUUUGCGAUAAAUUUAGUAUUUUUUGUGCUACUGUAGAAGUAUGCUUUUCUUUCGUGAUAGAGCAAAAAUUGUUGCACGAAACAAACUCACUUUUGGCUGGCAAACAAAAGCCAGUGUUUAUUAGAUGAGCCAUAUGUAUCACAAUGAGAGCCUCCUAGUCUUGGAAAAUCUGUAUUCCUCCUUCAAAUUCAAUCUGUAUGCACUGUCUAGUUACCUCCUACAGUCUUUCAUCAUUGAUGCGAGUUGAUUGGGAGUGCAGAACAAAGAAUAAUCUUGAUCUAUUAUGUUGCACUAUAUGCUGGUGAUCAAUCUUCCGAAUGCAUUUUCCACAUUCCCCCCCCNNNNNNNNNNNNNNNNNNNNNNNNNNNNNNNNNNNNNNNNNNNNNNNNNNNNNNNNNNNNNNNNNNNNNNNNNNNNNNNNNNNNNNNNNNNNNNNNNNNNUUUUCUCUGUGAUUAUGGUACUUUACCUUUUACACUUUCUGAGCUUAGAUGAUCAUCCCUGUAUUCGACACUGCUAUAUGCUUGAAAAUUUGUUGAAUACUUAAUUUUGUCAUAUCAUAAUGGCAGACUUGUAGUGUUCAAUUGAACUCCUCCUCCCCCCAGAAGAGUCCCAUUCGCAAAAUUCGCAAGUAUUAAGAUGUAUUUUUGUUCUAUAUGUAUCUCCUUAAGAUAAGAAGGUGUUUAUUUAGUUGUGGUGGCAUACUAAUGCAAUUUCUCGUCGCUGCAUAAUAUGCAGAUAUACAACCGAAAGCAUCAUAUAUGUCAAGAUACUCUUGAACUUACAAGCAGGAGAUGAAAUCGCUAGACUGCAAAACCCUUGUUCCACAUGAAGCAACUGGGAUAAAGGGCAGUGGCUGUGCAAGGGCUUCGUGUGUUUCUGUUCAGUAAGCUAGAUUAAUUAGUUCUUGACAAGAAUUUUGGACCUUCAUCUAUAUUCUGGUGGUUUUAUUCCCAUUUUGUCCUAGGCAACUGCAGCCUGUAAUUUGAAAUUAUGAUUUUUCAGAAUUUUGUAGAUUCACAAGAUAUUAAUAAAUUUCAAUUUGAAUUGUUGUCUAUAAGAUGAAAGUGAAAGGUAGAACAAUUUUUGC